UACGGGGGGAGCAAGCGUUGUUCGGAUUUACUGGGCGUAAAGGGCGCGUAGGCGGUCAGCACAAGUCAGUUGUGAAAUCUCCGGGCUUAACCCGGAAAGGUCAACUGAUACUGUGCGACUAGAGUGCGGAAGGGGCAACUGGAAUUCUCGGUGUAGCGGUGAAAUGCGCAGAUAUCAGGAGGAACACCGGUGGCGAAGGCGGAUCUCUGGGCCUUACCUGACGCUCAGGUGCGAAAGCUAGGGGAGCGAACAGG
RNAcentral lists this ribosomal RNA (254 nucleotides) under uncultured bacterium. Its description in RNAcentral is "partial 16S ribosomal RNA". It matches the Rfam family "Bacterial small subunit ribosomal RNA", at positions 524 to 776 of the family's 1533-position model. The record is from RNAcentral.